CCAAUAGCGUAUAUUAAAGUUGUUGCAGUUAAAAAGCUCGUAGUUGAACUUCGGGGUUAAUCCAUUGGUCAGGCUUAAUUGUCUGCACUGGUGAGAUGAGUCUCUACCUUCUGAGGAACUUUCAUGCCAUUUAUUUGGUGUGGUUGGAAAUCAGGACUGUUCCUUUGAAAAAAUUAGAGUGUUUAAAGCAGGCUAACGUCUGAAUACAUUAGCAUGGAAUAAUGAAAUAGGACGGACUGAUUCUAUUUCGUUGGUUUCUAGGAUCACCGUAAUGAUUAAUAGGGAUAGUUGGGGGCAUUAGUAUUCAAUUGUCAGAGGUGAAAUUCUUGGAUUUAUUGAAGACUAACUACUGCGAAAGCAUUUGCCAAGGAUGUUUUCAUUAAUCAAGAACGAAAGUUAGGGGAUCGAAGACGAUCAGAUACCGUCGUAGUCUUAACCAUAAACUAUGCCGACUAGGGAUCGGACGAAGUUAAUUUUAUAAUGACGCGUUCGGCACCUUACG
This 502-nucleotide ribosomal RNA is filed under the name uncultured Glomeromycotina. RNAcentral's name for it is "partial small subunit ribosomal RNA". It matches the Rfam family "Eukaryotic small subunit ribosomal RNA", at positions 591 to 1092 of the family's 1831-position model. The record is from RNAcentral. Lineage: Eukaryota; Fungi; Glomeromycota.